GGACUACUAGGGUAUCUAAUCCUGUUUGCUCCCCACGCUUUCGAGCCUCAGCGUCAGAAACGUUCCAGAGCGCCGCCUUCGCCACCGGCCUUCCUCCCGAUCUCUACGCAUUUCACCGCUACACCGGGAAUUCCGCGCUCCUCUCCCGUCCUCUAGCCUGGCAGUCCCCUCUGAACUUUCCGGGUUGAGCCCGAAGAUUUCACGGAGGGCUUACCAAACCGCCUACGCUCCCUGUACGCCCAGUAAAUCCGAACAACGCUUGCCACCUUCGUAUUACCGCGGCUGCUGGCAC
Molecule: ribosomal RNA, 292 nt
Filed under: uncultured bacterium
Lineage: Bacteria
Description: partial 16S ribosomal RNA
Source: RNAcentral